GAUGAACGCUGGCGGCGUGCCUAAUACAUGCAAGUCGAGCGAACGGACGAGAAUCUUGCUUCUCUGAUGUUAGCGGCGGACGGGUGAGUAACACGUGGAUAACCUACCUAUAAGACUGGGAUAACUUCGGGAAACCGGAGCUAAUACCGGAUGAUAUUUUGAACCGCAUGGUUCAAAAGUUAAAGACGGUCUUUCUGUCACUUAUAGAUGGAUCCGCGCUGCAUUAGCUAGUUGGUAAGGUAACGGCUUACCAAGGCAACGAUGCAUAGCCGACCUGAGAGGGGGAUCGGCCACACUGGAACUGAGACACGGACCAGACUCCUACGGGAGGCAGCAGUAGGGAAUCUUACGCAAUGGGCGAAAGCAUGACGGAGCAACGCCGCGUGAGUGAUGAAGGUCUUCGGAUCGUAAAACUCUGUUAUUAGGGAAGAACAUAUGUGUAAGUAACUGUGCACAUCUUGACGGUACCUAAUCAGAAAGCCACGGCUAACUACGUG
This 497-nucleotide ribosomal RNA is filed under the name uncultured bacterium. Its description in RNAcentral is "partial 16S ribosomal RNA". It matches the Rfam family "Bacterial small subunit ribosomal RNA", at positions 28 to 507 of the family's 1533-position model. The record is from RNAcentral.